ACAGUUAAAGUGACUGUGUUUGUGAUACAAUAUCUACAGUCAACGUCUAUCUUCAGGAGUUCUGGGAACCAGGGUGAUGCAAAACUUUUUUUGAUGUGUGUGUAAUGUAUCUUAGAUCUCUCCAACAGAAAACUAUGCCCAGUAAUUGCAAGAAAGCACAGAUCACACCUGUAUACAUGAAGAUAACAGGUGGUAAUUCAUAACCUCAGAUUUACCAUCCAGUGCUGGGCUAAGUGAACUGAUGUGAUGUGACCUGAUGGAUAUAUGAAUACACUCUGAUGUGACAGUGCCAUAAUGUGAGUUGACAGCCAGCGUGAACUGGCCUUUAUUUAUCAAGAGAUUGUCUGAUACUGAUACCACAAAGUCAAAACAGAAUUGACUCUGUUUCACCAGUCAAGCAGCUACUGCUGACAGUCAAAUAUUCUGCCUUUGUUGAUUCUUUCUGGCUAUUGGAGAUUCUAAUUGUACUGACACCCAGCAGGAUGUACGAUGUGUAUGACACUGCAAUAUGCACAAUAUGCACAAGAGACAAUUUUGUUAAUUAUUUCAGUUCUCUGAUGUAAUUAAGUGAAAAUAGUAUAAACACAUGUAUAUAGAAUA
Schistocerca nitens (vagrant locust) is the source of this 600-nucleotide long non-coding RNA. RefSeq lists it as uncharacterized. Lineage: Eukaryota; Metazoa; Arthropoda; Insecta; Orthoptera; Acrididae. The record is from RefSeq and is a predicted model, not a curated record. The transcript has 3 exons.